GACGAACGCUGGCGGCGUGCUUAACACAUGCAAGUCGAGCGGGUCUGCCCUGUUUUUUGCGGGGUGGGUCAGUGGCGAACGGGUGAGUAACACGUGAGUAACCUGCCCCUCACUUCUGGAUAACCGCUUGAAAGGGUGGCUAAUACGGGGUGUUCUGGCUGUGCCGCAUGGUGUGGCUGGGAAAGAUUCACUUUUGUGGUGUUUUGGUGGGGGAUGGGCUCGCGGCCUAUCAGCUUGUUGGUGGGGUGAUGGCCUGCCAAGGCUUUGACGGGUAGCCGGCCUGAGAGGGUGGGCGGUCACACUGGGACUGAGAUACGGCCCAGACUCCUGCGGGAGGCAGCAGGGGGGGGUAUUGCACAAUGGGCGGAAGCCUGAUGCAGCGACGUCGCGUGAGGGAUGGAGGCCUUCGGGUUGUGAACCUCUUUCGCCGGUGAAGAAGGUCCUGCUCUUUGUGGUGGGGUUGACGGUAGCCGGGUUAUGAAGCGCCGGCUAACUACGUG
RNAcentral lists this ribosomal RNA (500 nucleotides) under uncultured bacterium. Its description in RNAcentral is "partial 16S ribosomal RNA". It matches the Rfam family "Bacterial small subunit ribosomal RNA", at positions 28 to 507 of the family's 1533-position model. The record is from RNAcentral.